RNAcentral lists this ribosomal RNA (253 nucleotides) under uncultured bacterium. RNAcentral describes it as "partial 16S ribosomal RNA". It matches the Rfam family "Bacterial small subunit ribosomal RNA", at positions 524 to 776 of the family's 1533-position model. The record is from RNAcentral.
UACGAAGGGGGCUAGCGUUGCUCGGAAUGACUGGGCGCAAAGGGCGCGUAGGCGGCUUGCACCGUCAGAUGUGAAAUUCCUGGGCUUAACCUGGGGGCUGCAUUUGAUACGUGUGGGCUUGAGUGCGGAAGAGGGUCGUGGAAUUCCCAGUGUAGAGGUGAAAUUCGUAGAUAUUGGGAAGAACACCGGUGGCGAAGGCGGCGACCUGGUCCGUGACUGACGCUGAGGCGCGAAAGCUAGGGGAGCAAACGGG